GAGGAAGACUCACCCAGGACCAGCGCUCUGGGAUUCCCUAGCGGUCUCUGAGCGGACACAUUUAAUACGCCUGCCCAAGCCCCCGAUCGCCUACUUGGGGAGUUUCACGACCCUCAGGACGCCAUAGCAUUUCAAGCUGUGACCUUGUCAAGUUUCCGAAGAUAAGCAGCUGUGAACCUGGUUUGUAGUCAAGAUGAGAGACUUGUUCCCAACCUCACGAAGCAGAAUCUGGGAUUGAACACACAUCCAUCCGCUGCACUGGAAACUCAGAGUCUUAACCACUGGACAGCCAGGGAAGUCCCAGCAUCAUUGCUUUUUGAAGGCAGGAAAAAGCAAAGCCUUAGAGAACAAGACAGA
Cervus elaphus (red deer) is the source of this 357-nucleotide long non-coding RNA. RefSeq lists it as uncharacterized. The record is from RefSeq and is a predicted model, not a curated record. The transcript is spliced from 4 exons. Lineage: Eukaryota; Metazoa; Chordata; Mammalia; Artiodactyla; Cervidae.